GCGGCUGUCAACAUUUUGUACAUUAUUACGUGGUAUACAAUACAUAAUGCCAUUAUUAUCAUAAGCGUGCUUUUUUGUGGAUACAACAAAAGCAGCGGCAAGUAAGUUUCUGGACAAAAAAAAAAAAAAAAAACACGGCACAAGCGUAAGGACCUCCACCAUCCAGCGCGACUAGAGGCAGGAAACAUGCAAGUGCCCAAGUGCCUUCUUUUGUUCUUCGUCACGUACUGCGGUGCCAUGGACCCUCCUCGCCGUUCGCCCAUCGGAAAUAACCGAAACCCCAUCCACGGAAACAACCAAACAAGUGUAGCUGUAGCACAACCACCUUGCAACAACCACACGGAACCGGCUCGGAGGACCGCGGACCAAGAGGAGGACCAAACCUACCGCAGACUCGAGUUUGUGCUGCUCUGCUGCAAAAAGGAAGCGGAAAGGAGCCUCAUCAAGAGCGGUUCGAUCACUGAAGAGAGCUUCAGACACCCUGGAACAUGAAGGGUAUAUAGGGUUCUCC
Drosophila melanogaster (fruit fly) is the source of this 511-nucleotide non-coding RNA. NCBI's taxonomy places the organism in Eukaryota, Metazoa, Arthropoda, Insecta, Diptera, Drosophilidae. The record is from Ensembl.